RNAcentral lists this non-coding RNA (146 nucleotides) under Candidatus Scalindua. RNAcentral describes it as "c-di-GMP sequence". It matches the Rfam family "c-di-GMP-I riboswitch aptamer". Rfam says of the family: GEMM was predicted in a large-scale screen for bacterial structured RNA regulatory elements. Genes associated with GEMM are involved in a diverse array of functions, including chemotaxis regulation, signal transduction, secretion and chitin. The record is from RNAcentral. Lineage: Bacteria; Pseudomonadati; Planctomycetota; Candidatus Brocadiia; Candidatus Brocadiales; Candidatus Scalinduaceae. RNAcentral also lists the same sequence under 1 other name.
AACGGACAAAGGCAAACUCCGGGUGACCGAGGGGGCGCAAAGUAGAGGAUCUUUUGCUCUUGCACGGAUUAUAGAAUUGUAUGGAAAAGGAAAUCCGUAAACCGUGCAAUUGUAUGGUUCUAGAAAAAGACAGCCCUACUGCCGAA